UAUAGAAUUCCCCUGGUGCAUGCUUUC
RNAcentral lists this non-coding RNA (27 nucleotides) under Mus musculus (house mouse). Lineage: Eukaryota; Metazoa; Chordata; Mammalia; Rodentia; Muridae. The record is from RNAcentral.